ACUUGAAUUGAAGAGUUUGAUCAUGGCUCAGAUUGAACGCUGGCGGCAGGCUUAACACAUGCAAGUCGAACGGUAGCAGGAGAAAGCUUGCUUUCUUGCUGACGAGUGGCGGACGGGUGAGUAAUGCUUGGGAAUCUGGCUUAUGGAGGGGG
This 152-nucleotide ribosomal RNA is filed under the name Haemophilus sp. HMSC071C11. RNAcentral's name for it is "partial 16S ribosomal RNA". It matches the Rfam family "Bacterial small subunit ribosomal RNA", at positions 1 to 142 of the family's 1533-position model. The record is from RNAcentral. Lineage: Bacteria; Pseudomonadati; Pseudomonadota; Gammaproteobacteria; Pasteurellales; Pasteurellaceae.